AAGUGGGAAACAUCUUAUGACAUAACACUGUAGUCCAGUGAACCUAAAUGAACUACGGCCUCAACAAACUUCACAAAGGGCUGAGAGACGCGGAGAGGAGGAGACGCGCCUGGCACAAUCCCGCAGAAACAGUCAUCAAGUGAAAAGUGGAGAUGGGGAGGCGGCGAGCUGAAGUUCCGUCGGGUCACACUGCGCUCCUCUGGAGUUCAACGCGCGGCUCUGGCAUCGCAUCACUGGAGAUUUCGGAAGAUCUGUUGCCAGUUUCAGAGCGGAGUGAAUCCCCCGACCCGCGGUUAAAUAGUCAGACUGUACCUGGCUGCGUGAAACCGAUCAAGUGACAGGGCGACACGGCGAGAGCGCCACCACACGACCGGACUGCAGCUGCUGCUCAAAGACAUGACGUCUCUCUCUGGAUCUCGGGGAACCAGAGCGUGCACUGCCAUCUAGUGGAUGUUCUGAAUCUGGUGUCGACCACAGCGUUUUCAAUCUGAACACCAGGCAACAUGAGUGCAUCAAAUGCUAAGCACAGAUUUGAUCUACUACAUUACCCAGAGGCCAAUCUGUUUAUAUACCGUCUCAUCGGCAGCAGGUGGCAGCAUUGUUCAACAUGAUUCACCAAGGGAUUCAUCUAGAGUAGUGGUAAGGCUAUUUCAAUGUUUUACUCAUAUGUCGUUGUUUUUUGGUCUAAUUUCACAAAUU
Molecule: long non-coding RNA, 699 nt
Organism: Scophthalmus maximus (turbot)
Lineage: Eukaryota; Metazoa; Chordata; Actinopteri; Pleuronectiformes; Scophthalmidae
Exons: 3
Source: RefSeq, a predicted model, not a curated record